AACGCUGGCGGCAGGCCUAAUACAUGCAAGUCGAGCGCGCCCUUCGGGGUGAGCGGCGGACGGGUGAGUAACGCGUGGGAAUAUGCCCUUCUCUAAGGAAUAGCCUCUGGAAACGGAGAGUAAUACCUUAUACGCCCUUUGGGGGAAAGAUUUAUCGGAGAAGGAUUAGCCCGCGUUAGAUUAGGUAGUUGGUGGGGUAAUGGCCUACCAAGCCUACGAUCUAUAGCUGGUUUGAGAGGAUGAUCAGCCACACUGGGACUGAGACACGGCCCAGACUCCUACGGGAGGCAGCAGUAGGGAAUCUUAGACAAUGGGGGCAACCCUGAUCUAGCCAUGCCGCGUGUGUGAUGAAGGCCCUAGGGUCGUAAAGCACUUUCGCCAGAGAUGAUAAUGACAGUAUCUGGUAAAGAAACCCCGGCUAACUCCGUGCCAGCAGCCGCGGUAAUACGGAGGGGGUUAGCGUUGUUCGGAAUUACUGGGCGUAAAGCGCACGUAGGCGGAUUAGUAAGUUAGAGGUGAAAUCCCAGGGCUCAACCCUGGAACUGCCUUUAAUACUGCUAGUCUUGAGUUCGAGAGAGGUAAGUGGAAUUCCGAGUGUAGAGGUGAAAUUCGUAGAUAUUCGGAGGAACACCAGUGGCGAAGGCGGCUUACUGGCUCGAUACUGACGCUGAGGUGCGAAAGUGUGGGGAGCAAACAGGAUUAGAUACCCUGGUAGUCCACACCGUAAACGAUGAAUGCCAGACGUCAGCAAGUAUAC
RNAcentral lists this ribosomal RNA (757 nucleotides) under uncultured Alphaproteobacteria bacterium. Its description in RNAcentral is "bacterial SSU rRNA". It matches the Rfam family "Bacterial small subunit ribosomal RNA", at positions 32 to 835 of the family's 1533-position model. The record is from RNAcentral. Lineage: Bacteria; Pseudomonadati; Pseudomonadota; Alphaproteobacteria.